RNAcentral lists this ribosomal RNA (391 nucleotides) under uncultured Glomus. Its description in RNAcentral is "SSU rRNA". It matches the Rfam family "Eukaryotic small subunit ribosomal RNA", at positions 569 to 966 of the family's 1831-position model. The record is from RNAcentral. Lineage: Eukaryota; Fungi; Glomeromycota; Glomeromycetes; Glomerales; Glomeraceae.
AGCAGCCGCGGUAAUUCCAGCUCCAAUAGCGUAUAUUAAAGUUGUUGCAGUUAAAAAGCUCGUAGUUGAAUUUCGGGAUCGAUAUGUCGGUCGUGCCUUGGUACGUACUGGUAUCAUUGGUCUCUCCUUUCUGACGAACCAUGAUGUCAUUAAUUUGGUGUUAUGGGAAGUUAGGACUGUUACUUUGAAAAAUUGAGUGUUUAAAGCAGGCUUUAGCUUGAAUACAUUAGCAUGGAAUAAUGAAAUAGGACGUUCGAACCUAUUUUGUUGGUUUCUAGGAUCAACGUAAUGAUUAAUAGGGAUAGUUGGGGGCAUUAGUAUUCAAUUGUCAGAGGUGAAAUUCUUAGGAUUUAUUGAAGACUAACUACUGCGAAAGCAUUUGCCAAGGAUG